RNAcentral lists this transfer RNA (65 nucleotides) under Dipodomys ordii (Ord's kangaroo rat). It matches the Rfam family "tRNA". Rfam says of the family: Transfer RNA (tRNA) molecules are approximately 80 nucleotides in length. Their secondary structure includes four short double-helical elements and three loops (D, anti-codon, and T loops). Lineage: Eukaryota; Metazoa; Chordata; Mammalia; Rodentia; Heteromyidae. The record is from Rfam by way of RNAcentral.
GGUGGCUCAAUGGUAGAGUGUUUGCCUUGCAUGCAUGAGGCCCUGGGUUCGAUUCCUUAGCACCA